This 85-nucleotide transfer RNA is filed under the name Vandammella animalimorsus. Its description in RNAcentral is "Comamonadaceae bacterium NML03-0146 tRNA-Leu". It matches the Rfam family "tRNA". From Rfam's summary of the family: Transfer RNA (tRNA) molecules are approximately 80 nucleotides in length. Their secondary structure includes four short double-helical elements and three loops (D, anti-codon, and T loops). RNAcentral also lists the same sequence under 1 other name. The record is from RNAcentral. Lineage: Bacteria; Pseudomonadati; Pseudomonadota; Betaproteobacteria; Burkholderiales; Comamonadaceae.
GCCGGAGUGGUGAAAUUGGUAGACGCAGCGGACUCAAAAUCCGCCGCCGCAAGGCGUGCCGGUUCGAUUCCGGCCUCCGGCACCA